AGAGUUUGAUCCUGGCUCAGAUUGAACGCUGGCGGCGUGCCUAACACAUGCAAGUCGAGCGGUAACAGGUGUAGCAAUACAUGCUGACGAGCGGCGAACGGGUGAGUAAUGCUUCGGAAUCUACCCAGUAGUGGGGAAUAACCAAUCGAAAGGUUGGCUAAUACCGCAUACGUCCUACGGGAGAAAGCGGGGGAUCGUAAGACCUCGCGCUAGUGGAUGAGCCGAAGCCGGAUUAGCUAGUUGGUAGGGUAACGGCCUACCAAGGCGACGAUCCGUAGCUGGUCUGAGAGGACGACCAGCCACACUGGGACUGAGACACGGCCCAGACUCCUACGGGAGGCAGCAGUGGGGAAUAUUGGACAAUGGGGGAAACCCUGAUCCAGCGACGCCGCGUGUGUGAAGAAGGCCUGCGGGUUGUAAAGCACUUUUAGUGGGGAUGAAAAGUGCAGAGCUAACACCUCUGCAUCUUGACCUAACCCACAGAAAAAGCACCGGCUAACUCUGUGCCAGCAGCCGCGGUAAUACAGAGGGUGCGAGCGUUAAUCGGAAUUACUGGGCGUAAAGCGUGCGUAGACGGUAAUGUAAGUCGGGUGUGAAAGCCCCGGGCUCAACCUGGGAAUUGCAUUCGAGACUGCAUUGCUUGGGUGCGGAAGAGGGAAGCGGAAUUUCCGGUGUAGCGGUGAAAUGCGUAGAUAUCGGAAGGAACACCAGUGGCGAAAGCGGCUUCCUGGUCCGACACCGACGUUCAGGCACGAAAGCGUGGGGAGCAAACAGGAUUAGAUACCCCAGUAGUCC
This 795-nucleotide ribosomal RNA is filed under the name uncultured bacterium. RNAcentral's name for it is "bacterial SSU rRNA". It matches the Rfam family "Bacterial small subunit ribosomal RNA", at positions 8 to 796 of the family's 1533-position model. The record is from RNAcentral.